This is a long non-coding RNA of Dalotia coriaria, 533 nucleotides long. RefSeq lists it as uncharacterized. The transcript has 2 exons. The record is from RefSeq and is a predicted model, not a curated record. Lineage: Eukaryota; Metazoa; Arthropoda; Insecta; Coleoptera; Staphylinidae.
CAUUGAGUUGGGAUUUACAGUUAGUAGUCUCCAAAUCAUCAACCGGUACUAACAGUUUAGUUAAAGUUUACUUAAUUUCAUUUUUAUUUUUUAAAUAUGAAUACCAUGUAUAAGUUGAUGUUAUUAACCUUUGGUUUGGUGUUAUUAAGUUUGGAAUUUGUUCAAUCUCAAAAUAUUCCAGUGGUGAUCAAACAAAUAGGAUGUGGGACAUAUUGUCAUACUGUGAAAUGUGCCCCGCAGACUAUUGGCGACUGUAAGCCUAAUCAAGUCCUCAUCGGGGCUGAUCACGAUUGUUAUUGUUGUGAUCGGUGCAUAGAUUCAGAAAAAUCUGAUGUUGAGUGCAAUCCCGAUGACUGCAACCUAGUCGAUUGCAACCCAAAAAUAACUCCAAGAUACUGCUUGGACAUCGGAAAAGCAUUCGCCAAAAAAGACAGAAUCUGUAAAUGCUGCGAUAUGUGUAUUACUCCUGUUAAAAAAUGCACAAAGCCUAGAAGCUAACCAUCGUUCAUAAAAUACAACAAUAAUGAAUGCGA